RNAcentral lists this long non-coding RNA (449 nucleotides) under Selaginella moellendorffii. RNAcentral's name for it is "long non-coding RNA (SMOE_LNC001288)". The record is from RNAcentral. Lineage: Eukaryota; Viridiplantae; Streptophyta; Lycopodiopsida; Selaginellales; Selaginellaceae.
UUUUCCUGUUUUUUUUUUUUUUGUUUCUUCAAUAUAGCCUAAAACAUAACCUUUUUAAAGUAUGGUGAUCUUGAGCAAGUUCAUCUCGUCAACGGCUAGAAAGUUGGUAGUGCCAGAGGGUACCAUGGGGAUUUCAAACUAGCAUAUGAACCAUGUAAAAAACCAAUUGAGCUUGUAAUUGUAAUUAGAAUGUCCAACAAAAUCAUAAAAGUGGCAUAUAAUUUUUUUCCUAUUUAUGGCCACCACCAGGAGUAUUUAUUGUCCAAUUUCUGCCUCUAUAGCCUUUUUAGGACAGAGGCAAUGCUAUCUACUACAAUGGCAGAAGCAUGACAAGUUUUUCUUAUCUCCUUGAUGCCAAAACAACAAAACUCUCAACACAAUCUUCUCUCCAAUGAGUACUUGUAAACAUGUAUACUUGCAGUGACAGUAAUCAUCUCGCGGAAGAUCUU